GUGCUAGCUUGGGCAGCACAGAUGCUAAAAUGGGAACAACGCAGAGAUGAUUAGCAUGGAUGACCCCGUGCAAAGAUGACACACAAAUUCAUGAAGUGUUCCGUAUUUAU
Small nuclear RNA from Nannospalax galili (Upper Galilee mountains blind mole rat), 110 nucleotides. The record is from Ensembl. Lineage: Eukaryota; Metazoa; Chordata; Mammalia; Rodentia; Spalacidae.